UUUCCGUAGGUGAACCUGCGGAAGGAUCAUUGUCGAAGCCUGCCCAGCAGAACGACCCGCGAACUUGUUUAAACAACCGGGGGCAGGGGCGAUCUCGCCCCGUGCCCUCGAACGGCAGGGAGACACUCGUGCCUUCUUGUCGAACAACGAACCCCGGCGCGGUCUGCGCCAAGGAACUUCAAUUAAAGAGUGCCUCCGGUCGCCUCGGAAACGAUGCGCGUGUCGGAGGCGAAUCUUGUACAAAACCAUAACGACUCUCGGCAACGGAUAUCUCGGCUCUC
This 281-nucleotide unclassified non-coding RNA is filed under the name plant metagenome. RNAcentral describes it as "partial contains small subunit ribosomal RNA, internal transcribed spacer 1, and 5.8S ribosomal RNA". The record is from RNAcentral.